RNAcentral lists this unclassified non-coding RNA (25 nucleotides) under Mus musculus (house mouse). RNAcentral's name for it is "oocyte_clustered_small_RNA179". Lineage: Eukaryota; Metazoa; Chordata; Mammalia; Rodentia; Muridae. The record is from RNAcentral.
UCCGGGACCACGUCCGCCUCGACUU